RNAcentral lists this ribosomal RNA (274 nucleotides) under uncultured bacterium. RNAcentral's name for it is "partial 16S ribosomal RNA". It matches the Rfam family "Bacterial small subunit ribosomal RNA", at positions 523 to 796 of the family's 1533-position model. The record is from RNAcentral.
AUACGGAGGGUGCAAGCGUUACUCGGAAUCACGGGGCGUAAAGGACGCGUAGGCGGGUUGGUAAGUCAGGUGUGAAAUCCUACAGCUUAACUGUAGAACUGCACUUGAAACUACCAACCUAGAGUAUGGGAGGGGGAGAUGGAAUUAGUGGUGUAGGGGUAAAAUCCGUAGAUAUCACUAGGAAUACCGAAAGCGAAGGCGAUCUCCUGGAACAUAACUGACGCUAAGGCGUGAAAGCGUGGGGAGCAAACAGGAUUAGAUACCCGAGUAGUCC